Molecule: ribosomal RNA, 440 nt
Filed under: uncultured bacterium
Lineage: Bacteria
Description: partial 16S ribosomal RNA
Rfam family: Bacterial small subunit ribosomal RNA
Source: RNAcentral
CCUACGGGUGGCAGCAGUGGGGAAUAUUGCACAAUGGGGGAAACCCUGAAGCAGCGACGCCGCGUGAGCGAAGAAGUAUUUCGGAUUGUAAACUUCUUUCAGUAGGGAAGAAAAUGACGGUAUCUGAGUAAUAAGCUCCGGCUAAAUCCGUGCCAGCAGCCGCGGUAAUACGGAGGGAGCAAGCGUUACCCGGAUUUACUGGGCGUAAAGGGCGCGUAGGCGGGCUGGCAAGUCAGAUGUGAAAUCCCGGGGCUCAACCCCAGGACUGCAUUGGAAACUGGUAGUCUAGAGUAUCGGAGAGGGAGGUGGAAUUCUUGGUGUAGCGGUAAAAUGCGUAGAGAUCAAGAGGAACACCCAUGGCGAAGGCGACCUGCUAGACCAUAACUGACGCUGAGGCGCGAAAGCGUGGGGAGCAAACAGGAUUAGAUACCCGGGUAGUC